Non-coding RNA from Paramuricea clavata, 488 nucleotides. The record is from the annotation of a GenBank genome assembly. Lineage: Eukaryota; Metazoa; Cnidaria; Anthozoa; Malacalcyonacea; Plexauridae.
AGUAGUGCCAUUUUUGGCAUCUGUAAAUUUACCUUAGGAUAUUAGAUAUGAUGCAUGUUAUCUAAAUAACUAAAUUAGUUUUUUAAAACAUAUUAUUCCUAAAAGCGUUGUUAAGAUUCUCAGUGCACUGAAAUUAAAAUUUUUGUCUGUUAAAAUAUAGCAUGAUAUUCAGUUUGACAACUUGUUAGUGACACACAGUUAAAGCGUCCGAGUGUCGAUUUACUUGAUUAUUUGCAAAGAAUUUUCAAUGUCCUCUUGCGGUCCCAGAAAGUAAAAUAUUUUUCCACCCCUGACCAAAGGGUUAUUAUUCUUUAAUCGUUUUCAGUAUACAUCACAUUUCAAGAUGCUUAGCCAAAGAAUGGUACGGAGUUUGUGGUUCCUGGGGUUUCUCGUGUUGUUUGUCGUAUGCGUCAAGCAAUUCUCUCCGCUACAAAGGUUCAGCGAAUGGAAUGAUGGUGCAAGGUCUCGGUUGAGAAGACAGACAAUAU